RNAcentral lists this ribosomal RNA (206 nucleotides) under uncultured bacterium. RNAcentral describes it as "partial 16S ribosomal RNA". It matches the Rfam family "Bacterial small subunit ribosomal RNA", at positions 568 to 774 of the family's 1533-position model. The record is from RNAcentral.
AGCGCAGGCGGGAAGGUAAGUCUAUCUUAAAAGUGCGGGGCUCAACCCCGUGAGGGGAUAGAAACUAUCAUUCUUGAGUGCAGGAGAGGAAAGCGGAAUUCCUAGUGUAGCGGUGAAAUGCGUAGAUAUUAGGAGGAACACCAGUGGCGAAGGCGGCUUCCUGGACUGUAACUGACGCUGAGGCUCGAAAGCCAGGGGAGCGAACG